UUAGAUAAAAGUAACUGCAUAAAUAUUAGGAAACACGAUAUUAAAUCAAAGACUUCAAUUCAUGACAAAUCAAAGGCCUUUUUGACAAGAAGACACGAAGGCCUAAAUAAAGGCAAAGCACAUUCACAUAAUCUAGUGUUGGUACAUAUAAAUAAUUUGGAAAACAAUAAUACUUAAGAAGCCAAAUAUUACAUUACUUAAUAAUGAUUCAUUCUCAUUGGAGGAAGGAGAGAGAGAAUCGAUUCACAACAUCCCGUCAAUAUUACUAAUAUCGUUACAUGUUGACGUCUACAAGAGAAAAAGAGAUGUGAAAAUUAGCACAAGAAAUCAUAAUUUUAUUAUGCAUUUCAAUCUAAAAGUGCGAUGAGAAGUCAUCCACAAAAUUUG
RNAcentral lists this long non-coding RNA (387 nucleotides) under Olea europaea subsp. europaea. The record is from RNAcentral. Lineage: Eukaryota; Viridiplantae; Streptophyta; Magnoliopsida; Lamiales; Oleaceae.